GACUUGAUACUUUAAUUAUAAAAGAUUUGAUUUGCAUUCAAACAAUAAGUUUCAUUACUUUCAGGUCA
Molecule: transfer RNA, 68 nt
Filed under: Babylonia borneensis
Lineage: Eukaryota; Metazoa; Mollusca; Gastropoda; Neogastropoda; Buccinidae
Description: tRNA-Ala
Source: RNAcentral